This is a long non-coding RNA of Oncorhynchus tshawytscha (Chinook salmon), 1501 nucleotides long. The record is from Ensembl. NCBI's taxonomy places the organism in Eukaryota, Metazoa, Chordata, Actinopteri, Salmoniformes, Salmonidae.
GACCAGGUGUGCUGUGUCUUGUUUUGCACGCUUUGUACAAAAUAAUAAAAUACAAGACGACAGGAUCUUUCUAAACAUAGCUGUUUAUUAGUUAGCUAUAACUGGCAUGUUCAUGUGUCUCCGGCCAUGAUCAACUGGAAAAAAUGACCUCAUGACCUGGGUGGUCUUAACCAAUCAUAUCACAGUAUAAUACGACGGUAGAAUGCAACCAAUGCAUGCUCUGUAGUUUGAACUCAAGAUUUAGGACAGCUCUAGGCUUGACCUCUCUUCCUGAACCUUGUGUGAUAUGAAGCUGAGCAUGCUUCUGUGUCAGUCAACAGUUCUUGUGGUGUUGCAGAUGCCAGAACUAACAUCAGGGACUACCAUGGCAAGCUUGCAGCCCAUUACUGGAGUGGCAAUGCUGAUGUGUUCAACAAACCAGGCUCGCAGUCAUGUGGGAAAUGGUCAUCAAAAGGAGGAAGAAAGGUCCAGCGCUACACCAACCUACCCUCUCUGCUCCUCUCUCGCUCGCGGAGCCAGGGGAACCUCAACAACCUGGAGUUUGGGACUGCGCCUCAGACCCCACGGCCCCCCCGCUCCCCAUCCAGUAUAGACUUCCACAGCUUCCAAUCCCCACAGCUCUAUGGAGAUCAUUUCUGAUUAAAGAUAGAUAAUAAUUAUUUUAUUUUGCAUCCCAAAUGGCACCCUAUUCCCUAUAUAGUGCAUAUAUAUAUAUAUACACACACACACACACAAAAGGAGUGAACCAUGUAGGGAAUAGGGUGCCAUUUGGGACGUAAUCUUAUUUUUCUAUUACGAUCAUGGCUAUAUCAUGGCUAUAAAGUAUGAUUGGUCACUUCAGAGAAGCACAAAAGGAUUUGAUUGAUUGAAAGUUAAAGUUGUUCAACUGUCUGGCACAGGUCUCUCUCCUUACUAUGGAAUUUAGCAUGUACACUGAACAUAAAUAUGAACGCAACAUGUAAAGUGUUGGUCCCAUUUUUUUAAUGAGCUGAAAUCAAAGAUCCCAGAAAUAUUCCAUAUGCACAAAAAUAAUAUUUCUCUCAAAUUUUGUGCACAAAUUUGUUAACAUCCCUGUUAGUGAGCAUUUCUCCUUUGCCAAGAUAAUUCACAAUUGGCCCAGUGUUAUCCAGGUUUGGUCAGGGUAGGAUGUCAUUGUAAAUAAGAAUUUGUUCUUAACUGACUUGCCUAGUUAAAUAAUAGUUAACAUUAUAAUAAAUUACACAGGUACGCCUUGUGCUGGAGACAAUAAAAGGCCACUCUAAAAUGCUGAUUUUUAUCACACAUCACAAUGCCACAGGUGUCUCAAGUUUUGAGGGAGCGUGCAAUUGGCGUGCUGACUGCAGGAAUGUGCACCAGAGCUGUUGCCAGAGAAUAUAAUGUUCAUUUCUCUACCAUAAUGUUGUUUUAGAGAAUUUAACAGUACGUCCAACCCGCCUCACAACCGGAGACCACGUGAAUGGCGUUGUGUGGGUGAGCGGUUUGCUAAUGUCAAUGAGUGCCC